GUAGAUCGCGAACGAUGCAUUGGCGAUGCUCUGCGUCAGCAGCGACAGCAUGAUCAGGCCCGGCACGAUGAAGGUGCCAUAGCUGACGCCGUCGAUCUCGGUGAUGCGCGAGCCGAUCGCCGAGCCGGCCGAACACGACGAAGUACAGCGACGUCGAGAUCACUGGCGAGACAACGCUUUGCAACAGCGUGCGGAAGGUGCGCGCCAUCUCGAAUUUAUAGAUCGCGCGAAUGGCA
This 236-nucleotide unclassified non-coding RNA is filed under the name Hevea brasiliensis (rubber tree). Lineage: Eukaryota; Viridiplantae; Streptophyta; Magnoliopsida; Malpighiales; Euphorbiaceae. The record is from RNAcentral.